GCCCGGAUAGCUCAGUCGGUAGAGCAUCAGACUUUUACGGAUGAUUAAGUUAUCUGAGGGUCCAGGGUUCGAGUCCCUGUUCGGGCG
Molecule: non-coding RNA, 87 nt
Organism: Lingula anatina
Lineage: Eukaryota; Metazoa; Brachiopoda; Lingulata; Lingulida; Lingulidae
Source: Rfam